CUCGGUUCCUCGGGUCAGAACCUACACAGGUGGACUCAAAUGAGGGACCAAACAUACGUAAUUACAACUCUAAUAUACUCCCCAAAAACCCCCUAAAACAUCCUGAAAAUAUCACAUAGAGAUAUGCAUGAAAUAGCUGAACAGGGCACUUUCGGCGGCACCUUCGGCGGCCGAAAGUCCUAGACAGAUCCGAAAGUCAGGCACUUUCGGCGGCACCUUCGGCGGCCGAAAGUCCCAGACAGAGACGAAAGUCUCUUUUCGGGGGCAACUUCGGCAGCCGAAUGCUGCCUCCACAAAGGGGGUUCGGCGGCCGAAACUCCCUUCGGCGGCCGAACCUGGUUUCUGCCAGAAGGGCAGAAACUUGGUUCACAUGAACCCCUUGCCUCCCAAAACCUCAAAUCAAGCAUAUAUCUCAACCAAAUCAUGCAUACAAGUUCCUAGGGGCCUCAAAACAUCAAAUACCCCAACUACAACACUUCAAACAUACUCAAGCAAGCCACAUUGUUCAAAACAUCAAUAUAAACCCAUAAACUCAACAUAUACCCUAACAUGCAUUUCUACUCAUAGAUCUUGCAUAAAACUUAUUUAAAACACAUAAGGAGCUUAAGAUCGGCUCUUACCUCUUGAAGAUGGAGAGGGAGACGACCUAAACUUGGAGAUCCACGAAAAUGAGCUCCUGAGUUCCCAAAGCUCCAAAACUUGUUUCAAAAGCUUAAAUCUUCCAAACCAAGUGAAAACAAGUGAAAAUCUUGAAAGAUUUAGAGGAAGAACAUCAAAAAUGGGUGAGAGACGGCGGAGAGCUCACCUUGGCCGAAAAUGGGAAAAAGCUCGCCCGUUUUCGGCUAAGGGACCCUUUUAUAGUGGCUGGCCAGACCACGUUCGGGGGCCG
Molecule: long non-coding RNA, 889 nt
Filed under: Manihot esculenta (cassava)
Lineage: Eukaryota; Viridiplantae; Streptophyta; Magnoliopsida; Malpighiales; Euphorbiaceae
Description: long non-coding RNA (MESC_LNC011589)
Source: RNAcentral